GGAGUCCCAGUGCUGCCGCAGCUCUGAGCAUUCCCACGUCACCAGAGAAGCCGGUGGGCAAUGAGAGCAUGUCUGCUUUCAGGUUGUGGCCUGGCCUGCUGAUCAUGUUGGGUUCUCUCUGCCAUAGAGGUUCAUCGUGUGGCCUUUCAACACACGUAGAAAUAGCUGUUACUAGAACACCAGGAUGCGUAUCAGGCUGGAACCGUGUUUCCUGAUUGUUUUUACCCUAGCAUCUGCAAAGGAGGAAAAUACCAUGAUGUGUCUGAGAGCACUCACUGGACUCCGUUUCUUAACGCAAGCGUUCAUUAUAUCCGAGAGAACUAUCCCCUUCCCUGGGAGAAGGACACAGAGAAACUGGUAGCUUUCUUGUUUGGAAUUACUUCUCACAUGGCGGCAGAUGUCAGCUGGCAUAGUCUGGGCAUUGAACAAGGAUUCCUUAGGACCAUGGGAGCUAUUGAUUUUCACGGCUCCUAUUCAGAGGCUCAUUCGGCUGGUGAUUUUGGUACUGUUUAUUUACAUUUGCUAAAUUUUCUCGUGGUAUAGUUCACUUAUAAUGACAUCACUACUGUGCUUUAAAUAUGUGUGUCUUUGAUAUUUUGCUGGUUGCAUGUAUUUUCUAUUUAAUGUUGCAGUUCAUUUAGAGUAGAGAUGUACCUCAUUUAACAUAGAGAUGUAUUUCUAAAAACUUGUGUCUAU
Molecule: small RNA, 696 nt
Filed under: Pan troglodytes (chimpanzee)
Lineage: Eukaryota; Metazoa; Chordata; Mammalia; Primates; Hominidae
Description: retained intron
Source: RNAcentral